RNAcentral lists this ribosomal RNA (312 nucleotides) under Triticum aestivum (bread wheat). RNAcentral describes it as "partial small subunit ribosomal RNA". The record is from RNAcentral. Lineage: Eukaryota; Viridiplantae; Streptophyta; Magnoliopsida; Poales; Poaceae.
AUGGAUGAGCUUGCUCAACUUAUAGAGAUUUAUCAUGAGGAUUUCGCUCAUUAUGCACGUGAAUAUAUGGAAGAUAACCUUGAGUUGUUGAUUAUUCAUAUGAGAAGAAUUGAAGACUUUAGAGCUUGGCAUGAUAUUGCAAGCAUGACUAAAAAGAUGAUUGAAUUUGAAAGGCAUGUCAUGUUUCUUACUGUUUAUCGCCUCAUUGAGUUGGCAUUGCUACUUUCGGUAGCGACAACGCUAGUUGAAAGGGUCUUCUUAGCAAUGAAAAUCAUCAAGACUGAGUUGCGCAACAAGAUGUCCGGUGGCUAG